CCAGCCUCCUGAGUGAUUUAUCAGGUUUGCAUGGAGGAGGAGAGUCAGAGAGGGAGAAGAAGGGGGAGACAACUCCGGUAGCAGGCAGGCAGCAGUUACCAGCCGGCUGGGUGUGUUAACUCCACAUCUGACCUCUAUGGAACACAGCAGCUUCCACAGAGGGACACAUCUGCUCCUUCAACCCCGCUCCGGCUGCUUCUCGCUGGGGCUGCCGGGCUCCAGGAACCGACCCGGAUGGAGCAGGAGAACUGAGGAUUGCACUGCUUCUUGGACUAGAAAUGUCAGUCAGUGAACCGGCCGGUGGGCUCCUUCCCAAAGACUUCCACUUGGUGCCUAUCCUCAUCUGAACUCUGGUGGAUCUGAGAUGCUCCACAGCCGCCCUGGAUGAAGUCAUCUGCAGCCCUGGAGGACGGAGGCUGUGGUGGGGAGGGUUCCUGGCACCGUGAUUUGAUGCACAAAGAGAAACAAAAAUCACAUUGCCAGGGAUUUCCACUCCUUCACAGCUCAACAGGUGACUCAAAGGCACCUUUUAGUUUGUUCCUGAUGCCGUGGAGGCGACGUCGGCGAGCUCAGAUGGUUGAGCUCUCUAUGUGGAUUCUCACAUGCAAGACUGAAAAAAAAAGCAUAAAAGGGUCAUUCCAGAAUUUGAGGACAUUUGGGCUUCAAAAUUGUCGAAAAAUUUACCUUUUGCAAUCGCUUUACUAGUUUUCUGCUCCACAUUGAUCAAUGAUAGGUAUUGAUUGGCUCAGCUUCCACGUCAGUGGUAGCAUUUUUAUUCCAUGUUUAUGUGUUGUUUGCUAACCCUACUCUAAUCACAGUAACAGGGUUGCUAAUCCAUGCUAAUGUUAGCUUUUUCUCAGCAGUAGAAGCUAAAUACUGAUGACAAAAAGAAGACAUAAAAUGACAGAAACAGGACACAGAACGACAAAAACGAGACAGAAAAUGGCUAAAACAAGACAGAAAACAACAAAAACAAGAGAGAAAAUGACAGAAACGAGACACAAAAUGACAUAACCGAGAUAGAAAAUACUAAAACAAGAAAGGAAACGACAGAAACUAUAAACAAAAUGACAGAAAACAUAAGAAACAAGAUAGAAAAUGACAAAAAUGAGACACAAUGACAGAAACGACAGAAAAUGACAAAAAAGAGAAAGAAAAUUACAAAAACAAGACAGAAAAUGACAAAAACAAGACACAAAGUAAGAUAAAAAAGACAAAAACAUAAAACAGACAGAAAAUGACAAAAACAAUACAGAAAACAACAGAAAUGAGACACAAAAUGACAGAAAUAAGAGAGAAAACAGCAAAGAUAAGACAGAAAAUUACAGAAAUGAGACAGAAAACGCCAAAAACGAGACAUGAAACAACAAAACAAGACAAAAAAUGAGAAAAAGAAGACAGCAAAUGACAGAAAUGAGACACAAAAUGACAGAAAACGGCAUAAAACCACAAAAGAGACACAAUGACGGAAACAAGACACAAAAUGAGAAAAAACAUCAUUCACAGGUUCUGCUAACAUGUUGUGGGACACAUGUUCCAUCAUAAUAAUUAUUAUUUAAAAUAUUAUGUUUAUUAAAAAAUGUUCCCACAAUUACCAGAGACAUGAAUGAAAAAAUAAAACUAACAAAAAGAGAUUUACAUUUCAUUUGAACUGUUUUAUUAGAGAUCCAGUUUGGUCAUAAGGAGGCAGACAAGAACAAAAUGAUAUUUUAGGAGAAACUCCACACUUAUUUGAUAUUUUCAAACCUUUUCAGACAUUCUUUUCUCCUAAUUAUUUUUAGAUUUGAUCUCAGGAAGACUAUAUUUACACAACGACUGCAUGUUUUAGUAUUUUGUGCGUGGAUUAUUUGAAAUUUGAUGUAAAAUGUCCUCCAGUUCUGCAGCCUAUUGGCAUCUCUUCUUUCAAAGAAGCCGGGAAGUUGAUGUAAAUAAGAGCAGCUUUACACAACGGUUUUUCAGAGGCAGCUCUUGGAUUCCAGAUUCAUAAACAAGGAAAUUAUUUAGACGUGUGGCGAUGAACCUCCAGCUGCACCAGAGCAGACUUUAGGUGUGCGUGAGUCCCGGCUCCCUCCAAAGCCAGCCACCCACUUGCUAAAGGCACAGAGCUUAGCUAAUUGGUGAGCAUUGAUCCCUGCUAUGUGUUGUUCACAGUGGCUAAGUUCAGUGCCUGAGGUGAAAUAGUUGAUUCAACGACGGGGAUUUGUUCCGGUGAAUGGAAAGAACUUGAUGAUCUCAGAUAUGAAGAAGGAAAAGAAGGAGGGGGGAGAGAUUAGGUGGAAGGAGAGGCGAGGAUCACGGCUCAGGAUUCGUGUUUCCGUCCGAAUGAACGCAGAUCUCAACAGACGCCAGACAAACCCGAAACCACAUCUGUCCACAUCUGUCCCGCCUCGCCUUCUGUCUCCGGCAAGAUUCGUCGUGCACGUUAGGGAAAAAGUCUGCGGAGAGACGGUGCGACUCGGGUUUAACAUGGGCUUAAAAAUGCCAUGGAUUGUGUUGGGCUUUCAGGAAUGCGGUGCUAAAUGUCAGAGCCGUCUGGGCGUGUCGCUUCACGUCCACCUGAGUUAGCUCAGAUCUGCUGCACAUGACAGUCGAACCCGCACACGAUUAAUCGACCGGCGAGCCCUCCCACAUACAGGGAUUACUGCGCUACUGGCCAUGGAACAUCUAUCAAACAUCAGAUAAAGAAAUGUGCAGGAAGUGGCACAAAUUUAUCUCCUUUUUGUAUAAACGAAACCAAGAGUCUUUGUCUACAGACAGGUGACAAAUUAAAGGCAAAAUCAACAUAAACUCUCUCAGGAGGAUGUUGCUGCCACACCUCCUUCAGUGCCUCUUGGAUUUAUGCAUCUCUCUGUUAACUUACUGCUUAUUUUGCAGAAUAAUCAUCUAAUCUGAACAUUCAGUCUCAUAUAGGUUAGUGUGACAAACUGUAGGUCAUUAAAUUGAAAUCCAAAGUGUCCAUACACUACCUAUUUUCCACUGGAUUUGGGUCACUGUUGACUCAUGUUGUGCAUCAAACAGUUUAAAGAUUAAUCUCUCAUUUGGGGUUUUGAUGAUGGAGUGCUGUCCAAAACAAGGUCCAAAACCUCCUACAGGUGUUCAUUUAGAUUUAAAUCUGGUGAUUACAAGAUUCAAAUAACUUUUAAUGGAUCUAUUCGUGACCGUUCAACUCCUAGGGAUGUAGUCAUUGUCACUACUUGAAUCAGGAUAGAAAUGCUCCAUGAAAAGACAAAGCUGAUCGCUUUUUAGUUUGCAAUGAUCUUUUCUUCUAAAGGACUCAAACCAGACCAGGAAAAUGCACCUAGACCCCCUUUUACUGCACUGUAGAAAGUCAAUAAUUCAGGUUUUACUUUAAUUUGUCACUUAUCUGUACAUAUGUAAUACAUGUAAUCACGAAUCCUUUAGAGGUUUCAGGUUUUAUAUCAAGAAAACAUCGAGAAAAAAAAGAGCCAGAGAGAGUGUUUCAUUUAACAUGUGGAACUGUGUUUGAUGUGUGAAACUCAUUCAUUCAUAAACUGUUUAGCCAGAAAACAUGACAAGUUAGAACUGAUAAACCUUCUUUUCACUGCUAAUGUGGGAUAUCAGUGACUCAUUACCCAUUACUGAGAACUCUGAGUCAUCAAAUCGGCUUAGUGCGUAAUUCAUUCAAGCCAAAUUUUCUGAUUAUUUGUUAGUUUAGCAUUGCUCUGCUGGGUUUAGGUUUAAGUACUCAGAUUCCUGGGCUGUGCCCUCCCGUGCCUACUGAACUGGUAUCAGUGUUUUACCUGAAAACUGGCUCAGUUCAGCAGGAACAGGAGUGGAGCCUCCGAUGCCACAAAAACACAGCCGGGUUCAGGUUUCUGGUGAUCACAUGGGAGGCUCACAUGGAAACCGAAGCCUUGCAACCUGUUGGACAACAGAAGUCGGCUCCAGUUAGAGGACUGUCCUUGCUUUAUCUGCCGGAACAUGAAUGUUUCGUAAGCAGAUUUUCCAUUUUUCUGUCCUGAGCUGGCGAAUACCGUUACAAACUAAUGCAGCCGAUCCUGUGAAAAAGGGCGUCCCUCAAGGUUCUGUGCUGGGCCCACUACUAUUCACUAUUUAAAUAAAUAAUCUUGGACAGAAUAUUCCAAACUCAGGUUUUCAUUUCUACGCUGAUAACACUGUCCUGUACUGAGCAGAACCCAAACCUGCUGAGGCCUUUCAGGAUUUACAACUUACAUUUUAACCCUCCUGUUGUCUUCAUUUAUGGGCACCAAAAAUAUUGUUUCCUUGUCUGAAAAAUAAUCCAAGCAUUCAGCAAAAAAAAUCCCCAAAUUUCUGACAAUUUGCAAAACCUUCAGGAAGAAAAUUCCAUUAAUUCCUUAAAAGUUAUAUAUAUAUAUAUAUAUAUAUAUAUAUACACUGACAGUCAUUAAAAAUUUUGAGACCAUAUUUUUCAACAUAAUUUUCAUUUUGAAGCCCAAAACUGGAUUUUCUUCAUAUGAAUCAUUUGUUUAGCAUUUUGGCAUACAGAAACAAAAAUCUAAAGUUUCAAGAAUGAUUUCAAAAUAAAGAAUUUCACAAAAGAAAACGGCACCUGCCAAACACAAAGUCACAGCAGUCAAUACCGAGUAUGGCCUCCAUCUGCUUGGAUGCAGGCAGCAAUCCGUCGGCGCAUGCUUUGGACCAGGCUUCUGAUUGUGGGUUGGGAACAGCCCAUACGCCUGGAUACAUCACUGUAGCUCAAAGCGGCCUCCACCAUACCCAGUGCCCGGAGACGUUGUUCAUGUGAUAGACGCGGCAUGAUGCUGUUCACUGGACUAACAAUGGUGGCCUUUUUUGGGCCUUUAUAUAGGCCUUCAAACCCAUUCUCACAUUGUACUCACUGAGUAUUGCUUGGUGUGUAUUUGGUUCACUUUUGCAAAGUGACCAACCCAUGUGCAAUGAAUCAUGACAAAAUGACAACUCAUCAUUAUCUCAACUACCAGGGCACUAGAUCAUCUGUAAAUCCACCAUGAAUCAUUACAACCCCCCUACAAGUAGAAUUCUGCCUACAUUUCUACCUCAAAGGUUCUAUUGACUGUCAGUAUACUGUAUAUAUAUCCCCCAAAUUUGGCAAGAAAAUUCUUGUAAAUAUUUUUAAAAAAUGAGUAAAAGUCUACCAAAAAAGCCUCAAAAUAUCUAAAAUGAUUCCAUAUAUAUCAGUAAAACUUUCUAAUAUUUUCUUUAAGAACAUUCACAAAAAAUCUACCAAAAUCCAGUGAAUUUCGCUGGUUUUGGUUGAUUUUUUUAUGAAUGUUCUUAAGAAACAUUUUUUUUCUAACAAAAAAUAUUCAAAAAUUUCCCAAAAAUGUUAAAAAUGGGGACAUCAGAAGUUCCACUGUGAAAAUGUAUUUUUUUAAUCACAUUUUCAAACUUGAAAAAUUUGACCUACAGGUGGGUUAACAAGGAAACAUGGACGUCACAUCUCAGAUCUAUGGAUUCUCUGCAGUUUGUCGUCCCCAAAGUACAAUCUCAACUGGACAAGAAAGCAUGUAGGUUUUUGGCAUUUAAUGCUUGGAAUAAAUUACAAUCUGAACUUAAACUUGUGUUACGUGUGAGCAAGUUUUAAUGUUAAUUUUAUCUGUUGUUCACUGUUUUUAAUGUGACUAUGCUCCCUGUAAAGGAGAUCUCUGAUCUCAGUGGGACUAACCUGGUUAAAUAAAUGCUAAAUAAAUAAAAUUAAAAUCCUGUUUAUUCCUCUCGACGAGGCUGCAAACACCUGUCUCUCCCCUAAACUCACCUGCCUCCUCUCAGGCGUCUUUCUGUGACAUUAAAGGCCAGACUGGAGUUCACUGUGAGGUAAUCCUGGUGAAAUGUCUGCUAUGUCUGUGUAAUUGAUGUCACCCAGCAGCCCCCAUUAUCACUGAUUGGGAAUGUGUGCAAUGCUGCUUCCUCCCUGCAUUCCAGAUAAACUCACAGCCACCGAAGGGGAAUAUAAAAUAACAGAAAAAAAAUCUUUUCAUUUUUUUUUACUGUUGGUAACAAAAAGAAUCAAUUUGGAAGAAAAUACACCAUUUAAGAAUUCAUUUAUUGUGUCAUUUUUAUUUUUUCAAUAAAACAGUCCCCAACAAAUAAACUAUAUAACUUCACAUAAUGCCACUGCUUGUCACUGUUCAUUGACAGAAAACUGCAGUUUUUCUGUUAUUUUCCAGAUGUAUUUUGAAAAAACUUGAUUGUUUCUAGCUCUAAAAAAGGUUUGCUUUGCAGAGAUUCAUGACCUCAUAAGACAGAAACCUUCAUGGUGGGAAAUGAAAUUCAACACAACUGAACACUAAAAAAAAACAACAGCUGCUCUGUUUGUUUUCAGUUUCACAGCAGAUGAACUUUGCUGAAGUCAAACGGUCAGAAGUUCAGCUUUCUAUCUGAGCCGCACUUGUUGCAUCCGGCUGCAGCUCCACGGUUUCAUGCAUCAAAAUCAAAAACAAUAAAGCCACAGUUCUCAUGAAAACAGAAUCACACCCCCGCCCAGCCGGAGUCUGUCCAGACCAAAGCCUGCAGCCUCCUUUUAGUCUCCAUAGCGAUGUCAGCAUCCCUUUCAUCUUCGGGCCUCAAAGGCUGACCAGAUUUCAUGAUGUGGCCGCUUUAUUGAGCCUGAUCUGCUUUUCUUGCCCCCGUCGCCGUUCAAUCAGCGUUGUGCGGUUCUGGCCUGUGGCUGCAAGCUCGGCUGCGUAAUUUGGUUUAGAGCUGAACGGGAACAUCUGUUCUACAAAGCUGCACCUCCUUCCGGUCCUCGGGCUUCACGGAAACAAACGAGGCCGGCGGUGGGGCGUCGCAGGACCUCCAGAUCUACAGGCAACCACCUCCAGUCCCAACCAGCAGCAAUCUGAGAGGAGAAGAAAUGAGUGGAGUCACGCAGGAUUUAUUGUUCCACUGCUUUAUUGAUUUCAUAUGUUCAGGAGGAGGCUUAAAGUUUCAGGAACACCAUCAUUAUGUGAGUAGAUUUAUGUGCAGACAUUUAUCAAACAAUAAACACGGAACGAAGGAACGCUGCAAAAACUGUACAUUCAGUCCUAUUUGAAGAAAAAAUACGAUGAUGGACAACAGAGGACUCAGAAAUAGAAAGGUGCUAACUUGAAGUCAAAAAAGAUUCUUCGCAGUGAUGGUUUCACAGAAAUGGAUGCAGGUCUGACUUGUACCAUGACCAAGACUCUAACAUUCAUUCAGACAUGAAGCCGAUACGCUCAGAUGCUCUCAGAUUCUAGAUCCUGUCAAGAAAACCCGUGUUUCUUUGGAAAUUUUUAGAAACCGAAGCCGAAUGAUCGCCCUGAGAACAUCUUUGACAACACAAUCGGGUAAGUGGUGCCAGAAUGCAAGAAGAAAAAAUGAGAGGAUUAAGAAAAGACAGAAACAAACGCUCACACACAUCAUCAAGGCUGACAGAGUAAAUGGCCGCCGUCCAGCCUCAAGAUGAAACCUGCGUCGUCUUAAUGAAACAGGAAUGAAAAAGCACUUGAUGUGUGCUCGUGGCAGUUUCUCCGUCCCGUUGGAGCUUGUUAUUUAUUUAUUAAAGGACAGAACUAAAUGGAUAAUAAUUGAAUUUGUGCUGACGGUGUGUCUGCCUCGAUCACGCUACAUCUCAUAACCUCUACCGUCCUCCUGUGCUUCUACCUGGAAUCUGAUAAAUGGAAAACCGCUGCUUCCAGAGCUGCUAUGGAUUUUAAGAACACGUGAACAUACUGGCAUCAAGAGAAGGCAAAUAUGAAGCUAUUAGUAUGUUUAAACACUCUUUUGUUACGAUGCAGAGAAAAAUGCAGAUAACAAGACUGCUGGUUUGAAAAGCAUGUUUUCUUUUGCAAAAAUCUCCAAAAUCCUACCAUUUGUCCCAGAAAGACACUAUAAAAGCAAAAAAAAAGUUGAAUUUUCACCUUUUAGAUGAGCUAAUCAUGUGUGAGGUGGAGUUUUGUUGGGAAAAUUAUCUAACUCUGAGCUUAAAAUCUUCAAAUUUCUUCAAAAUUUGUUAAUUCUACAUGUCUCAAUUUAAAAAAUCACCUAAAAUAAAAACUUUGCUCUGACCAGAAUCUGUAAAAAACAAAAUAUUCUACGCUUCUGCCACAACUGUGGAGCUAUUAGUGAUUUUACUGUCAUCAACAGUGACAGGACAAAAAAUCAGGGAAUUUUUUUCUCAACCGUGUUGAACUGCAGGCAGUGUUUCCACAGAGCAUACAGAUGACAAGUACGGAAACUAAAUAAAUGUGGAAAUAAUGGCAUGUUCAUUUGUUUCUUCCGACUGUUGGUAACAGAUAUGGACACCUGGAAAAAUGUUGGACAUAUAGAUUCCAGGUUUUUGCAGUUUUUGUAGAAUAAAUAACUUCAGAAAUUCA
This is a long non-coding RNA of Acanthochromis polyacanthus (spiny chromis), 8318 nucleotides long. RefSeq lists it as uncharacterized. NCBI's taxonomy places the organism in Eukaryota, Metazoa, Chordata, Actinopteri, Pomacentridae. The transcript is spliced from 2 exons. The record is from RefSeq and is a predicted model, not a curated record.